UUUCCGUAGGUGAACCUGCGGAAGGAUCAUUCACAAUAAGUGUUUUUAUGGCAUUUUACAUUCCAUCUUCACCAUGUGUCCAACGUUUUGAGGUCUUUUUAUCAUUUCGCCUGCUGCAUAAUGUUUGUUCUCCAGCCGCGGAAGGCAAGUUCAGCAGGCUUUUUAUAUCUUAACUCUGGAUCAUUAACAAAUCUUUCUGCAGCUCGAUUGCGAAUUAUCCUAUCAAAUAAAUACAACUUUCAACAACGGAUCUCUUGGCUCUG
RNAcentral lists this unclassified non-coding RNA (263 nucleotides) under plant metagenome. RNAcentral describes it as "partial contains small subunit ribosomal RNA, internal transcribed spacer 1, and 5.8S ribosomal RNA". The record is from RNAcentral.